RNAcentral lists this non-coding RNA (28 nucleotides) under Mus musculus (house mouse). Lineage: Eukaryota; Metazoa; Chordata; Mammalia; Rodentia; Muridae. The record is from RNAcentral.
UGGUGUCCUUGCGGUGGUAGCCCUUUAU